AUGGAGCAGUCCCGGCAAUUCUUCCGGACGCCGCCCGACCAAGCCCGUGUGCGCAAGACUGGCUUCGUCGAGGUCCGCUCGUUCUGGAACAUUUACCGGAGCUUCGACAGGCUGUGGGUGAUGCUGGUGCUCUACUUGCAGGCCGCAACCAUUGUUGCGUGGGAUGGUGAGACUUGGCCGUGGCAGAAUCUCACGGGAAACCACCGUGCAGCCCAGGUGCGUCUGCUCACCGUCUUCAUCACCUGGGCGGCACUACGCUUCCUGCAGUCGCUGCUGGACAUCGGCACACAGUUACGCCGCGCGUUCAGGGAUGGACGCAUGUUUGCAGUGCGCAUGGUGCUCAAGGCCAUUGUGGCAGCUGCGUGGGUUGUUGUAUUUGCUGUGCUGUACAAGGGAAUCUGGAGCCAGAGGGACAGUGACCGUGGCUGGUCGCGGGGGACCGAUUCUCGAAUCAUGAAGUUCUUGUAUGCAGCAGCAGCGUUUCUGAUCCCCGAGGUCCUUGCCACCGUGCUCUUUAUUAUUCCUUGGGUGCGGAAUGCAUUGGAGAAGACAAAUUGGAAGAUCUGCUAUGCCCUCACCUGGUGGUUUCAGAGCCGCAGCUUCGUUGGCCGCGGGCUUCGUGAGGGCACCUUUGACAAUGUGAAAUAUUCUAUUUUCUGGGUGCUUCUGCUUGCUGUGAAGUUUGCCUUUAGCUAUUUCCUCCAGAUCAGGCCACUUGUAAAACCUACAAAAGAGAUAUACAGGCUGAGUAAGGUCACAUAUGCUUGGCAUGAGUUCUUUGGGCAGAGCAACCGAUUUGCUGUGUUUAUAUUGUGGUUGCCAGUAGUUUUGAUCUACCUCAUGGAUAACCAGAUCUGGUAUGCAAUCUUCUCUUCCAUGGCCGGUGCAUUUGUGGGGCUGUUUGCACACUUGGGAGAGAUCCGUGACAUGAAACAACUGAGGCUGAGGUUCCAAUUCUUUGCAAGUGCCAUGUCAUUCAACAUCAUGCCAGAGGAGCAACAUGUGAAUGAGCGCACUUUCUUGCCCAACCGGCUUCGGAAUUUCUGGCAGCGACUGCAGCUACGGUACGGGUUCAGCCGAUCGUUCCGUAAGAUCGAGUCAAAUCAGGUAGAAGCACGGCGGUUUGCACUUAUUUGGAAUGAGAUUAUCACCAAGUUCAGGGAGGAGGAUAUUGUAAGUGAUCUUGAAGUUGAGCUCCUCGAGCUACCACCUGAGCUGUGGAAUGUGCGUGUGAUCCGUUGGCCGUGCUUCUUGCUUUGUAAUGAGCUGUCACUGGCACUUGGGCAGGCAAAGGAGGUCCAAGGACCUGAUCGCAGGCUCUGGAGGAAAAUCUGCAAGAAUGAUUAUCGUCGUUGUGCGGUCAUUGAGGUGUAUGAUAGUACCAAAUACAUGCUGCUAGAGAUCAUCAAGGAAAGGACUGAGGAGCACGGCAUUGUGACGCAAUUGUUUCGCGAGUUCGAUGAAUCCAUGAAUUUGGAUAAGUUCACUGUGGAGUAUAAGAUGUCUGUGCUGCAAAACGUCCAUGCAAAGCUUGUAGCACUGCUAAGCCUACUUCUCAAGCCCAACAAGGAUAUCACAAAGAUUGUCAAUGCUCUUCAGACUCUCUAUGAUGUUGUGAUUCGUGACUUCCAGGCUGAGAAAAGGAGCAUGGAACAGCUGAGGAACGAAGGCCUGGCACAAUCAAGGCCAACCAGCCUUCUCUUUGUGGACACUGUCGUGCUGCCUGAUGAGGAGAAUGCCACUUUCUAUAAGCAGGUACGGCGCAUGCACACCAUCCUGACCUCACGUGACUCUAUGGUCAAUGUCCCAAAGAAUCUUGAAGCUCGGCGGAGGAUUGCAUUUUUCAGCAAUUCAUUGUUCAUGAACAUACCACGGGCAACCCAGGUGGAGAAGAUGAUGGCCUUCAGUGUCUUGACACCAUAUUAUAACGAAGAGGUGUUGUACAACAAGGACCAGCUCUAUAAGGAGAAUGAAGAUGGCAUAUCAAUACUAUACUAUCUGAAACAGAUCUACCCAGAUGAGUGGGAGUUCUUUGUUGAGCGCAUGAAGCGUGAGGGGAUGUCUGAUAUGAAGGAGCUGUACAGUGAGAAGCAAAGGUUAAGAGAUCUUCGGCACUGGGUCUCAUACAGGGGACAGACACUAUCACGAACUGUGAGGGGGAUGAUGUACUAUUAUGAUGCUCUCAAGAUGCUGACCUUUCUGGAUUCUGCCUCUGAACAUGACUUAAGAACUGGAUCGAGGGAGCUUGCUACAAUGGGUUCCUCAAGAUUUGGAUCCUCGAGAAGAGAAGGGAGUGCUGGUGGCUCAGGGUAUUAUAGCAGGGCCUCUUCGUCACACACACUGAGCAGAGCAACCAGUGGUGUGAGCUCUUUGUUUAAAGGUAGCGAGUAUGGGACUGUCCUUAUGAAAUACACUUAUGUGGUUGCAUGCCAAAUUUAUGGCCAGCAGAAAGCUAAAAAUGAUCCGCAUGCUUAUGAGAUAUUGGAGCUAAUGAAGAAUUAUGAAGCACUUCGUGUUGCCUAUGUUGACGAAAAACACUCGGCUGGUGCCGAACCAGAGUACUUCUCCGUCCUUGUGAAAUACGACCAGCAGUUGCAGAAAGAGGUUGAAAUUUAUCGAGUGAAGUUGCCUGGGCCACUGAAGCUUGGUGAAGGCAAGCCAGAGAACCAGAAUCAUGCACUCAUCUUCACAAGGGGUGAUGCGGUUCAAACUAUUGAUAUGAACCAAGACAAUUACUUUGAAGAGGCUCUGAAGAUGAGAAAUCUGCUAGAAGAGUUCAAUCGCCAUUAUGGAAUUCGCAAGCCAAAAAUCCUUGGGGUUCGGGAACAUGUGUUCACUGGCUCUGUAUCUUCUCUAGCUUGGUUUAUGUCUGCCCAAGAAACAAGUUUUGUCACUCUGGGGCAGCGAGUUCUAGCUAACCCACUCAAGGUUAGAAUGCAUUAUGGCCACCCAGAUGUGUUUGAUCGUCUUUGGUUCUUGGGCCGAGGUGGUAUUAGUAAAGCAUCAAGAGUAAUCAACAUCAGUGAGGAUAUCUUUGCUGGAUUCAAUUGUACCCUCCGUGGAGGCAAUGUUACACACCAUGAGUACAUCCAGGUUGGUAAAGGAAGGGAUGUGGGGCUCAACCAGGUUUCUAUGUUUGAAGCCAAGGUUGCUAGUGGCAAUGGUGAGCAAACUCUGAGCCGUGAUGUUUACAGACUGGGCCACAGAUUGGAUUUCUUUCGGAUGCUCUCGUUUUUUUAUACAACCAUUGGAUUCUAUUUCAACACAAUGAUGGUUGUACUAACUGUCUAUGCAUUUGUCUGGGGGCGAUUUUAUCUUGCACUUAGUGGGCUCGAGGAGUACAUCACAAAGAACACUAGCACUACUAAUAAUGCAGCCCUGGGAGCUGUCCUGAAUCAGCAGUUCGUCAUACAGCUGGGCCUGUUCACAGCAUUGCCCAUGAUUAUUGAAAAUUCACUUGAGCAUGGUUUCCUCAAUGCUGUAUGGGAUUUCUUAAAAAUGCAAUUGCAGUUUGCAUCUGUUUUCUACACCUUCUCAAUGGGAACCAAGACACAUUAUUAUGGGCGGACAAUCCUUCAUGGAGGUGCAAAGUAUCGAGCUACUGGCCGUGGAUUUGUUGUGGAGCACAAGAAAUUCGCCGAGAACUACAGGCUAUAUGCCCGUAGCCAUUUUCUAAAAGCAAUAGAGCUCGGCGUGAUAUUGGUUCUCUAUGCAUCUUACAGCAGCAGCGCUGGGAAUACAUUUGUGUACAUCCUGCUGACGCUUUCCAGUUGGUUUUUAGUAUCCUCGUGGGUUUUGGCCCCCUUCAUCUUUAAUCCAUCAGGUUUGGACUGGCUGAAGAAUUUUAAUGAUUUUGAGGAUUUCCUAAGCUGGAUUUGGUUCCAGGGUGGAAUCUCAGUGAAGUCAGAUCAAAGCUGGGAAAAGUGGUGGGAGGAGGAAACUGAUCACCUUAGGACCUCUGGUCUGUGGGGGAGCAUCUUGGAAAUCAUUAUAGACCUCCGAUAUUUCUUCUUUCAGUAUGCAAUUGUUUACCGGCUUCACAUUGCCAGUGAGAGUAGAAGCAUCCUUGUCUAUCUUCUUUCAUGGACAUGCAUACUGCUGGCUUUUGUGGCUCUUGUCGCAGUUGCUUACUUCCGAGACAGAUACGCAGCAAAGAAGCACAUAAGGUAUCGGCUUGUCCAAGCUAUAAUUGUUGGUGCCACUGUGACUGGUAUUGUCCUGUUGAUAGAAUUCACAAAUUUCCAGUUCAUUGAUGCCUUUACUAGUCUCUUGGCUUUUCUGCCAACUGGCUGGGGAAUCAUAUCUAUUGCUCUGGUGUUCAAGCCAUACCUGAGGAGGAAAUGCAAACAAGGAUCCUAUUCAAUGAAGCCUUCAGCCGAGGACUUCAUAUUUCUCAAAUGUUUACUGGCAAAAAAGGACAUGGAGUUUAAGCUCAACCCAUUUUCAUUUCUCAAAGUGAUCUGCUUCAUUAUUCUGGAGGGUGCAGUUCUUCUCAGUGAUAUACGGUACGUGGAUGGCACAUGGUCAAGUACUGUAGUGUAG
Molecule: ribosomal RNA, 4542 nt
Filed under: Triticum aestivum (bread wheat)
Lineage: Eukaryota; Viridiplantae; Streptophyta; Magnoliopsida; Poales; Poaceae
Description: partial small subunit ribosomal RNA
Rfam family: Small nucleolar RNA J33 (bases 2150-2229)
Source: RNAcentral